UGCAGUCGAGCGGACAGAUGGGAGCUUGCUCCCUGAUGUUAGCGGCGGACGGGUGAGUAACACGUGGGUAACCUGCCUGUAAGACUGGGAUAACUCCGGGAAACCGGGGCUAAUACCGGAUGGUUGUUUGAACCGCAUGGUUCAAACAUAAAAGGUGGCUUCGGCUACCACUUACAGAUGGACCCGCGGCGCAUUAGCUAGUUGGUGAGGUAACGGCUCACCAAGGCAACGAUGCGUAGCCGACCUGAGAGGGUGAUCGGCCACACUGGGACUGAGACACGGCCCAGACUCCUACGGGAGGCAGCAGUAGGGAAUCUUCCGCAAUGGACGAAAGUCUGACGGAGCAACGCCGCGUGAGUGAUGAAGGUUUUCGGAUCGUAAAGCUCUGUUGUUAGGGAAGAACAAGUACCGUUCGAAUAGGGCGGUACCUUGACGGUACCUAACCAGAAAGCCACGGCUAACUACGUGCCAGCAGCCGCGGUAAUACGUAGGUGGCAAGCGUUGUCCGGAAUUAUUGGGCGUAAAGGGCUCGCAGGCGGUUUCUUAAGUCUGAUGUGAAAGCCCCCGGCUCAACCGGGGAGGGUCAUUGGAAACUGGGGAACUUGAGUGCAGAAGAGGAGAGUGGAAUUCCACGUGUAGCGGUGAAAUGCGUAGAGAUGUGGAGGAACACCAGUGGCGAAGGCGACUCUCUGGUCUGUAACUGACGCUGAGGAGCGAAAGCGUGGGGAGCGAACAGGAUUAGAUACCCUGGUAGUCCACGCCGUAAACGAUGAGUGCUAAGUGUUAGGGGGUUUCCGCCCCUUAGUGCUGCAGCUAACGCAUUAAGCACUCCGCCU
Molecule: ribosomal RNA, 836 nt
Filed under: Bacillus subtilis
Lineage: Bacteria; Bacillati; Bacillota; Bacilli; Caryophanales; Bacillaceae
Description: bacterial SSU rRNA
Rfam family: Bacterial small subunit ribosomal RNA
Source: RNAcentral